Molecule: long non-coding RNA, 558 nt
Organism: Apus apus (common swift)
Lineage: Eukaryota; Metazoa; Chordata; Aves; Apodiformes; Apodidae
Exons: 2
Source: RefSeq, a predicted model, not a curated record
UCACAGUGACAUCCUCAGAGUGAUCUGAUGAGGCAAAGCUAAAUUGUGUCUGUCGCCUGUUAAAAACAUGUCCCGGGAAGGAAAACUGCAGCAGGUAUCUCUGAGAGAAAUCUCAACAUAGAAUCACAAGUAGGUGAUAAGGGCAGCAGGAGUUGUGGCUCUUUUUUUGAGGACAGCCCAACAAUGCUCUCAGAAAUUACAGAUGCAGGAGCCCCUGGCAAAUGGUUUAAAUGACAAAGAGGAUACAUCAAGAAAUCUUCAACUGUUCUUUUAUUUCUUAGAAGGACUAACAGCUCUCCAAGUAUUUCAAGUCCUUUUGCUCAGAGCGAUAAGGCCCGCAGGGAGAACCUAUUGAGGCUGCUGGGUUCUUCAGUGUCCUAAACCGGGAGCCUAAACACUGCAGAAAUCUGCACUUCCAGUGUUCCCUUUUUCAGGGACAGAGAGAAAAGGACAUGUCUGGUCAUCAGUGCAUGAGGUGAACAGCUGGACCCUCUGGUUCCAGUCACCAACAGCCAGUUGUGUUUUCUCCUCACUUGUGGAAACUAAAAAAGUGAAACC